AUUAUUAAAAUUAGUUUAUUAGUAGAUAUUGCAUAUCAUUUUAAGAAAAUUUUAUAGAUAAUAAAAAAUAAAAAUAAAAGGUAGAAAAUCUUGUAUUUUUAUUGUUUCAUAAUAAAAAAUAAGGGUUUUAGUGUUGAAAAGUCGACUUUUAUUAUAUUUGUUUGUUUUAUAGAUAUUAGAAAAUUAUAUUUAGUUUAAGAAAGUGGUAAGUUUAAAAUUUGAAGUGUUUUAUAUUCUGGUUUUAUAACUGGUUAUAUAAUAUUGUUUUGGUUUAAUUAAAAUUUAUUAAUGCUGUAAUAAAUAAAUUAUUUAAAAAUUAGUAAAUGUUUUAANAAGGUAAUUAAUUAUAAUAUAACAAAAAAAUUCAGUAUUUAAUCAAAUGUUUUUUAAAGACUUAGACUUUUUAUUAAAGUUUGCUUCUGCCCAGUGAAAUAUUAAAUGGCAGUCUUAGCGUGAGGACAUUAAGGUAGCAAAAUAAUUUGUGCUUUUAUUAAGUUCCAGUAUGAAUGAAGUUAUUGGUUAAUGAUUUUUUUGUUUUGUAUUUGAAUUUAUUUUUAUAUAAAAAAAUAUAACUAUAAUUAUACAAAGAUAAGUCUUCGGAAAUUCUUUUUAAAUAUAAUAUUUUUUUAUUAUAUUUAAAAUUUUCUAGGGCAGAAUAAUAUAUAUUUUAAAUUUCUAUUAAUAAUUUAAGGAAUUACUCCGGAGUUAACAGAAAAUCAUACUAGAUCUAGUUCUUAUAGUAUAGUAAGUUUUACAUCGAUGUUGUAUUUGGAUAAUUUAAGAUAGGAGAAAACUUAAUUUUUAAGACUGUUCUUCUUUUAAUUAAUUCAACGUGAUAUUAGUUUAAUUCA
RNAcentral lists this ribosomal RNA (851 nucleotides) under Viannaia hamata. RNAcentral describes it as "partial 16S ribosomal RNA". Lineage: Eukaryota; Metazoa; Nematoda; Chromadorea; Rhabditida; Metastrongylidae. The record is from RNAcentral.